GAAGAAGGCCCUACGGGUUGUAAACCGCUUUUCCGGGGGAAGAAUAAGCCCGACGCGUCGGGCGAUGCCGGUACCCCGGGAAUAAGGAUCGGCUAACUCCGUGCCAGCAGCCGCGGUAAUACGGAGGAUCCGAGCGUUAUCCGGAUUUACUGGGUUUAAAGGGUGCGUAGGCGGCCCAACAAGUCAGCGGUGAAAUGUGGCGGCUCAACCGUUUCGCUGCCGCUGAUACUGGUGGGCUUGGAUUGCGUCGAGGCGGGUGGAAUUCGUGGUGUAGCGGUGAAAUGCAUAGAUAUCACGAGGAACGCCGAUAGCGAAGGCAGCUCGCCGGGCGCGUAUCGACGCUGAGGCACGAAAGCGUGGGGAUCAAACAGGAUUAGAUACCCUGGUAGUCCACGCCGUAAACGAUGAUGGCUGGGUUUUUGCCCGCGAGGGUGAGGGCCUGAGGGAAACCAUUAAGCCAUCCACCUGGGGAGUACGGCCGCAAGGCUGAAACUCAAAGGAAUUGACGGGGGCCCGCACAAGCGGAGGAACAUGUGGUUUAAUUCGAUGAUACGCGAGGAACCUUACCUGGGCUCGAACGCGGGGGGGAUGCACCGGAAACGGUGCAGCCGGCAACGGCCGCCCGCGAGGUGCUGCAUGGUUGUCGUCAGCUCGUGCCGUGAGGUGUCGGGUUAAGUCCCAUAACGAGCGCAACCCCUACCGCCAGUUGCCAGCGGGUAA
RNAcentral lists this ribosomal RNA (720 nucleotides) under uncultured bacterium. Its description in RNAcentral is "bacterial SSU rRNA". It matches the Rfam family "Bacterial small subunit ribosomal RNA", at positions 407 to 1128 of the family's 1533-position model. The record is from RNAcentral.